GGCGCGCACCCGUCGGCGCCGAGCGCGCAGCCUGCUCCACCGCCGCCUCUUGGUCCCGCCGCCGCCGCUGCCGCCGCCGCCGGGCAGGUAACUUCAUGCGCUCAUUGUCCCCCCCGCCCGCCCCCCCAUCCCCGCCUCCCGCGCCCCUCGCAGCCCGGCACACGCGCUCGGGCUCUAGGUACUGGGCGUUUUAUUGGAGAUUCUGAGUUGUUCUGCUUGUAGUUUAUUUUCUCCACCUUGGAGGCCCGGGAUGUGGGGGGUGGGGGGGUGGGGCGGGGAUCCAGAAGGGACAGGGCGGGAGGGGGGCGAGCGUCCCGGGCCGGGCGGGGUAGGGAGCGCGGCCGGACGCGGGCUCGUCAAGGCCCAAUGGCUGCUGUUCGGAACCAGAGGCCGGGGACCGGAGAAAGGAGGAGCGGAGAAGGAGAAGGAGGAGAGCACGGCCUGGCUGGGACAGAAGCGGUGGGACCCUGGGAGGCCUCCGCUGUGCCCGUGCCGCGCUCCUCGGGACCAGCGCGUCGCACACAAAGGGGCUGCCGAGCCAGAGCCACCAGCGGCCUCAGGGCACCGUGGGGAGCGCGCAGCUAGGGGGCGCUGUGGCGCACCCCGCCCCGCAGCCCCGCCCCCGGCCCUCCCCGGCCCCACCCCACUCCCACCGCCCUCUCCGCGGCCGUCCCCACCCCUAUCUCCGCGACCCCCACUCCUCCUCGGCUGUUCCCCAACCCUGUCACUGUGCUCCCCUCCCUACUCCCGGCCCGUAGUGGAGGUGACUUUCCUGCGCAGCGCCGCUUCUGAGGGCGGAGAACCCACAGGGAGUGCGACCCCUUUGCACGCUGUGAGUGGGCAACUGUCCGAGGGACUCGAGCCGAUCGAAGGGUGAGGACCAGCUCGCCUGGGGGUGGACGGCCUGGAAAAGCCGCCCCUCUUUGGCUUCCCUCUGCCGCCUGCAGCCCGCACCCCUCCGAGAUUCGUGCCCCACUGGACGGUUUGCGAAGGCUGAGGCUGCCUUGGGGACUCACAAAAGACCACAGGGGUGAUUCGAAGUGUAAAUAGGGAAACAAUCAUCAGCACACAAUCCGGCUAAAGGGAUAACAUAUGAGUUUGCUUGUUGUCCUUCAUGGGAUUCUUCUCUUUUUAUAGCUGGACGCCCUAUAGGGCUCUUGGCAGUCCACGAAAGACCUGGAGUCCGCCUCCCCAUUUCUCCGGUCGGUGAGUGGCAGGAGGAAAUCGCCAAACAUGUUUUCCCGCUUUGCCUCCCCAACUCGGAAACUUGCAACUUGCCGUGUCCUGGAGGUUGAGACAAUUUGGGGUCUCUUGGCUGCCGUCCAACAGAUUUAUCUCUGAGGGCAGUGUCCUUGGUGAGAGGUCCAAGUAGGUGUGGGCGACAUUGUCCUCCAUCUCAUGAGGGAGCAGCCCUGCACACUAGGGCCCAAAACUCUGCGAAGGAGCUUGGAAGUUCUUCAUCCGUUCCACUUGUUUUGCUACUCCACACACCCUUCUAGGACAUGUUGAUUGCCAACUGCUCUGUGCAGCUUUCCCAUAGCUGUCUGUUCCCGUGCAUUUCGGAGCACCAAGCAAAUACGAGCAGAGAGACCUGGAAAAAAAAAUGAUGAAGACAGUAUUAAUGAUAAAAUUAACAUGGCUGAGUGAAUUGUCAAUGCAAGUUCCUUUACUAACUCUUUGUUAAGUUUUGCUUUGUACUCCUUACAUCCUCUUUCUCUUAAGCCAUUGUUUUAAUUUCUUCUCGUUAUCAUUUUUAAAAGUAACAGAAAUACAGCUUUCUUCCUACCUUCACGAUUGACUUGGUGGAGGUUGGGUUGCAAAGAGGAAGCAGUAAGAAAAAAUAAUUAUUCUAUACAUUCACAAGUCCUUCAAGGCACAAAAUAAAAGUAAGAAAUAGAAAAUAUGUCCUUUCUCCUAAUAAAGGUCUUUAUAAUAAAAUUUAAAUGAAGUUUUGUGUUUCAUAACAGCUUCCCAAAUACUGUUGUAGAUACUAAAAUGUGCCUGUAUGUAUUUCCUUCCACAAUAAUAAUAGUAAUAAUAAACUUUUUUAGGUCCAAAUUAAACAUUUCUCAGCUUAAAUUUCUAUCCUCAAUCCAACAUUUAUUAUAUCAAAACUUGAUUUUUAAAAAUAAAACUUUCUUGGAAUUCAUCAUUGAUGUCUGUUUGAUGGCCUCGUGAACAUCAGGAAGAUGAAAUGAAAUGGUUCAAGACUGGAACAAUACCAUUAUCUGCAUCUUGACUCCUGGGAGAUAAUGAUAUCUCCUGCUUUCCUCUACAGACCUACCAGUUUUCUCUGCUUUAAGGGAAAAUCCAAAUGCAUGAGACCUGUGCAUUCUUCUACAUAAUCAAGAGUCUGGUUUCUUCCAUCGGAGUGUAUGGAGUUAAAGUGGUAUACUGUACAUGGCAUGGUGUGAUAGGUGGGAAUAUGAGCUACUGGGGGAAAAAGUUCUUACUUCUAGCCACUUAUACAAAGAGAGGCCAUCUCAGUGUAAUCUGAAAAAAUGCUCACUUUAUAAUGCUGUAUCCAAGGCCCAUCAAAAACUAAAUGGAUGUAUUUGUACUAAAAGUUGGGGAAAGUUGAAUAUCUAAACCUCUGAGCAAAUCUUUCUUAAUUUAGAAAAUAAAAUAGAGCAUCAUUGUAAUACUUUUCAGUUUCCUGGACAUUCAACUCCACAUCAUGGAUAAAUAAAAUAGUUAUUUGUCCAUUCACUCAUUCAUUUGUACAUUAAUCAACAGAGAGAGUGGUGAAAAACACUAAUGCUUUGUAUUAUUUAUAGGUUUAAAAUACAAAACAAAUUACUUAAAAUGGUUCCUGCUCUAGAUGUAGUCUUUCAGAGUAGUAUUUUCCAAACUAGUCUGGUCAGUGAAGUCAUCUUAGCAGUUUAGAAAAAUACUCAUGCCAGAGCCCCACACGCACAGAUUCUGAUUCAGUUCUUUUCAGGUAGGGCCUGAGCACAGGAAUUUUUAAAAGCUCUCCAGUGGCUUUAAUUUUCAGAAAAGAUUGAGAACCACUGGCCUAAAAGGAAAGAUAAGGUAGUCUAGAAGGAAAGAGUCCUUAACAAAGGAAAUGUUAAAAGUAUGAAAUUUUAGUAGAUAGGCUGGAUUGUCAUUUUGUGUUGAUCCCCAUAAGAGGACAUUGAGGAUCACCACUCCCAAAACCUCAUCACCUACGCUGCCUUUUAGAGAUGGAGUUGGCAAUUUGCCCAUUUACUGUCAGUAAACUUGCAUGACUUGUAAAGGUCCAGGUUACAGUUUAUUCACCUGACCUAGGAACUUUAUGUACUCUAGUUACCAGAAAAUGAGUGCCUGUAAACAAAACGUGUCUUUACCAGUGCUGAUGUAAUGCUAUCAGUACCUACUUGUGAAAUGCCUACUAUAUCGUGGACCUGGUCCUAAUUUCUUUACAUUGAAUUUCGCAGUCUUAUUUAAUUUUCCAGAUUACUUUGGAAAGCCUCAUCAGUAAUUACAAACCACACGGAGCAUUUGAUUUUGUUCCCUCAACAUUGCCCAUCUUCACUUUAAUUAUAGUUUCACAAAUUGUUACGUUUUCAAAUUUAUACUUGUUUUCAGUGACCACAUUUUAUGUCUACUGAUUCUUUGUAUUAUGUAGGUUAAGUCCUAAAUCUUGUAGUAAUGUCUCCAAAUCACAUACAGAAUGUGUUACUUUGGGGAAAAUAGCUUUUAGACAGUUAAUCCUAUCUGUGAUUUACAAGAGUCUUAUAAAAAUUAUUCAACAAACCAUGGUACUUCCUGGCAGGCAUUCUUUGCUAGAUUUUGGAGUUAGUUUUUCUUCAAGGGUUGAAGCCCUCUAUAGAUGCACAUGAGAAUGAAAUGUCAUAUAGAGGGGUUGAUUUUGAAAUGCCAGAUAUUAAAACUAAAAUCAAAGCCUGCCGUAUUGUAUAACUAAAUUAAUAUUUAGCCCUUCACUGGCCUUUCUGAUUUAUGGGCUAGUUUUCCAGUGACAGCUGAUGUCGCAAUAUUUCUAGGGAAAAGAAAGCCUCAUUCUUUUAAAAUACCAUUCAUUUUAUACCUCAUAUGGCCCACCUAGGAUUUUAAGCCCUCAUUGGACAUGUGUAUACCCAAUGAGGUUACAUGGUGAAGUAGCUAUUUGUUUCCUUAGAAUCUAGCCAAUCCUGAGUGCUAUACAUUUUAAAUUCAAAAGGACAUCAUUAAUGGUUUUCAUGGGAAAUGUUUACAUGUUCUCAAUUUACCAGUUAGCAUUUACUGUUGUCCAGGGU
RNAcentral lists this long non-coding RNA (4238 nucleotides) under Homo sapiens (human). RNAcentral describes it as "non-protein coding lnc-SDCBP-2:12". The record is from RNAcentral. Lineage: Eukaryota; Metazoa; Chordata; Mammalia; Primates; Hominidae.